GAUGAACGCUGACGGCGUGCCUAAUACAUGCAAGUCGAACGAAACUUCUUUAUCACCGAGUGCUUGCACUCACCGAUAAAGAGUUGAGUGGCGAACGGGUGAGUAACACGUGGGCAACCUGCCCAAAAGAGGGGGAUAACACUUGGAAACAGGUGCUAAUACCGCAUAACCAUAGUUACCGCAUGGUAACUAUGUAAAAGGUGGCUAUACUACCGCUUUUGGAUGGGCCCGCGGCGCAUUAGCUAGUUGGUAGGGUAAAGGCUUACCAAGGCAAUGAUGCGUAGCCGAAUUGAGAGGUUGAUCGGCCACAUUGGGACUGAGACACGGCCCAAACUCCUACGGGAGGCAGCAGUAGGGAAUCUUCCACAAUGGGCGAAAGCCUGAUGGAGCAACGCCGCGUGGGUGAAGAAGGUCUUCGGAUCGUAAAACCCUGUUGUUAGAGAAGAAAGUGCGUGAGAGUAACUGUUCACGUUUCGACGGUAUCUAACCAGAAAGCCACGGCUAACUACGUG
RNAcentral lists this ribosomal RNA (512 nucleotides) under uncultured bacterium. RNAcentral's name for it is "partial 16S ribosomal RNA". It matches the Rfam family "Bacterial small subunit ribosomal RNA", at positions 28 to 507 of the family's 1533-position model. The record is from RNAcentral.